UCAAGUUAUUAAGGGUGCAGGGCGGAUGCCUUGGCACUAGGAGCCGAUGAAGGACGUGAUAAGCUGCGAUAAGCUUCGGGGAGUUGCACGUAAACUUUGAUCCGAAGAUUUCCGAAUGAGGAAACUCACUUAGAGUAAUGUCUAAGUAUCAUUAAGUGAAUACAUAGCUUAAUGAGGGGAACUCAGGGAACUGAAACAUCUAAGUACCUGAAGGAAGAGAAAGAAAUUCGAUUCCGUAAGUAGCGGCGAGCGAACGCGGAUUAGCCCAAACCAAUAAAGUUUUCUUUAUUGGGGUUGCGGACAUAUCAUAACGAAGAGGUAUCGUAAUUGAAGAGGUUUGGAAAGACCCACCACAGAAGGUAAUAGUCCUGUAUGUUAAACGAGAAGACUUCAGAUAUGAUCCAGAGUACCACGGGACACGUGAAACCCUGUGGGAAGCAGGAGGGACCACCCUCCAAGGCUAAAUACUACCUAGUGACCGAUAGCGUAUAGUACCGUGAGGGAAAGGUGAAAAGAACCCCGGGAGGGGAGUGAAAUAGAACCUGAAACCCUGCACUUACAAGCUGUGGAAGCACAUUUCUUGUGUGACCGCGUACUUUUUGUAGAACGGGCCAACGAGUUACGUUAAGUAGCAAGGUUAAGCACUUAAGGUGUGGAGCCGUAGCGAAAGCGAGUUUUAACUGAGCGUUCAGUUACUUGACGUAGACCCGAAACCGGGCGACCUACCCAUGAGCAGGAUGAAGCGAAAGUAAAAUUUCGUGGAGGUCCGAACCCACGAGCGUUGAAAAGCUCGGGGAUGACUUGUGGGUAGCGGUGAAAUUCCAAUCGAGCCCGGAGAUAGCUGGUUCUCCCCGAAAUAGCUUUAGGGCUAGCCUCAAAGUGAGAGAUACGGAGGUAGAGCACUGAAUGUCCUAGGGGGUAUUGCACCUACCGAAGACUAUCAAACUCCGAAUGCCGUCAUCUUAUACUUGGGAGUCAGACUGUGGGUGAUAAGAUUCAUAGUCGAAAGGGCAACAGCCCAGAUCGUCAGCUAAGGUCCAUAAAUGUAAGUUAAGUGGUAAAGGAUGUGGGAUUGCACAGACAACCAGGAUGUUGGCUUAGAAGCAGCCACUCAUUCAAAGAGUGCGUAAUAGCUCACUGGUCGAGUGAUCCUGCGCCGAAGAUUUCCGGGGCUAAAACUUACUACCGAAGCUACGGCAUCAGUAAUGAUGGGUAGGGGAGCUUCCCAUACGGGUUGAAGCAUGACCGUAAGGACAUGUGGACAGUAUGGGAGUGAGAAUGUUGGCAUGAGUAGCGAGAUGUGGGUGAGAAUCCCACAGGCCGUAAACCCAAGGUUUCCAGGGGAAGGUUCGUCCGCCCUGGGUUAGUCGGGACCUAAGCUGAGGCCGAAAGGCGUAGGUGAUGGACAACAGGUUGAUAUUCCUGUACUACGAUAACCGUUUGAGAGAAGGGAUGACACAGUAGGAUAAGCUAAGCACACUGUUGGUUAUGUGUGCCCAAGCAUUGAGGCAGUCAAAGUAGGCAAAUCCGCUUUGAUAAUGCUGGGAUGUGAUGGGGAGCGAAAUUUAGUAGCGAAGUAGCUGAUUUCACACUGUCAAGAAAAGUCUCUAUCGAGGUUAAAGGUACCCGUACCGCAAACCGACACAGGUGGGUGAGGAGAGUAUCCUAAGGCCAGCGAGAGAACUGUUGUUAAGGAACUCGGCAAAAUGACCCCGUAACUUAGGGAUAAGGGGUGCCACCAUCAGGUGGCCGCAGAGAAUAGGCCCAAUCGACUGUUUACCAAAAACAUAGGUUUCUGCUAAGUCGCAAGACGAUGUAUAGGAGCUGACGCCUGCCCGGUGCUGGAAGGUUAAGGGGAUCUGUUAGAGGAAUCGAAGCAGUGAACUUAAGCCCCAGUAAACGGCGGCCGUAACUAUAACGGUCCUAAGGUAGCGAAAUUCCUUGUCGGGUAAGUUCCGACCCGCACGAAAGGCGUAACGAUUUGGGCACUGUCUCAACAACAGACUCGGUGAAAUUGUAAUUCCGGUGAAGAUGCCGGAUACCUGCGACAGGACGGAAAGACCCCAUGGAGCUUUACUGUAGCUUGACAUUGGGUCUUGGUACUACAUGUACAGGAUAGGUGGGAGGCUUUGAAACCAGGACGCCAGUUUUGGCGGAGCCAUCCUUGGGAUACCACCCUUGUAGUACUGGGACUCUAACCAUAGGCCAUGAAUCUGGUCUUGGGACACUGUCAGGUGGGCAGUUUGACUGGGGCGGUCGCCUCCCAAAAGGUAACGGAGGCGCUCAAAGGUUCUCUCAGUACGGUCGGAAAUCGUACGUAGAGUGUAAAGGCAAAAGAGAGCUUGAUUGCAAGGACAUACAGGUCGAGCAAGGAUGAAAAUCGGACUUAGUGAUCCGGUGGUUCUGCGUGGAAGGGCCAUCGCUCAACGGAUAAAAGCUACCCUGGGGAUAACAGGCUUAUCUCCCCCAAGAGUCCACAUCGACGGGGAGGUUUGGCACCUCGAUGUCGGCUCAUCACAUCCUGGGGCUGUAGUAGGUCCCAAGGGUUGGGCUGUUCGCCCAUUAAAGUGGUACGCGAGCUGGGUUCAGAACGUCGUGAGACAGUUCGGUCCCUAUCCGUCGCAGGCGUAGGAAAUUUGAGAAGACCUGUCCUUAGUACGAGAGGACCGGGAUGGACGUACCUCUGGUGUACCAGUUGUUCUGCCAAGGGCAUGGCUGGGUAGCUAUGUACGGAAUGGAUAAGCGCUGAAAGCAUCUAAGCGCGAAGCCAACUUCAAGAUAAGAUUUCCCACCGCAAGGGUAAGACCCCAGAAAGACUAUCUGGUUGAUAGGUCGAAGGUGUAAGUGCAGCAAUGUAUUUAGCUUAUCGAUACUAAUAGGUCGAGGACUUGACCAA
Molecule: ribosomal RNA, 2896 nt
Filed under: Clostridioides difficile
Lineage: Bacteria; Bacillati; Bacillota; Clostridia; Peptostreptococcales; Peptostreptococcaceae
Description: 23S ribosomal RNA
Rfam family: Bacterial large subunit ribosomal RNA
Source: RNAcentral